CCACAAUGAUGAAUUUUUAAUGACAAGCAUAUGGCUGAGUAUUGUUGAUGUCAUCUUUUUUUCUGAGAGG
Molecule: small nucleolar RNA, 70 nt
Organism: Antechinus flavipes (yellow-footed antechinus)
Lineage: Eukaryota; Metazoa; Chordata; Mammalia; Dasyuromorphia; Dasyuridae
Product: small nucleolar RNA SNORD27
Exons: 1
Source: RefSeq, a predicted model, not a curated record